RNAcentral lists this ribosomal RNA (358 nucleotides) under uncultured bacterium. Its description in RNAcentral is "bacterial SSU rRNA". It matches the Rfam family "Bacterial small subunit ribosomal RNA", at positions 1096 to 1455 of the family's 1533-position model. The record is from RNAcentral.
GCGCAACCCUUAUCAUUAAUUGCCAUCAUUGAGUUGGGCACUUUAAUGAGACUGCCGGUGAUAAACCGGAGGAAGGUGGGGAUGACGUCAAGUCCUCAUGGCCCUUAUGGGUAGGGCUUCACACGUAAUACAAUGGUCGGUACAGAGGGUUGCCAACCCGCGAGGGGGAGCUAAUCUCAGAAAGCCGAUCGUAGUCCGGAUCGCAGUCUGCAACUCGACUGCGUGAAGUCGGAAUCGCUAGUAAUCGCGGAUCAGCAUGUCGCGGUGAAUACGUUCCCGGGUCUUGUACACACCGCCCGUCACACCAUGGGAGUGGAAUCUGCCAGAAGUAGGUAGCCUAACCGCAAGGAGGGCGCUU